This 432-nucleotide unclassified non-coding RNA is filed under the name soil metagenome. Its description in RNAcentral is "partial contains 5.8S ribosomal RNA, internal transcribed spacer 2, and large subunit ribosomal RNA". The stretch from base 1 to 120 matches the Rfam family "5.8S ribosomal RNA", at positions 35 to 154 of the family's 154-position model. The record is from RNAcentral.
GAUGAAGAACGCAGCGAAAUGCGAUACGUAAUGUGAAUUGCAGAAUUCAGUGAAUCAUCGAAUCUUUGAACGCAUAUUGCGCUCUCUGGUAUUCCGGAGAGCAUGCUUGUUUGAGUAUCAGUAAACACCUCAACUUCCAUAUCUUUUUUGAAAUGGGAGUUGGACUUGAGUGAUCCCAACGCUUUUCCUCACCGAAAAGUGGCGGGUUACUUGAAAUGCAGGUGCAGCUGGACUUUUCUCUGAGCUAUAAGCAUAUCUAUUUAGUCUGCCUAAAAAACAGAUUAUUACCUUUGCUGCAGCUAACAUAAAGGAGCUUAGUUCUUGUGCUGACUGAUGCAGGAUUCACAAAGACGGCUUCGGCCGACUUUGUAAACUCGAUCUCAAAUCAAGUAAGACUACCCGCUGAACUUAAGCAUAUCAAUAAGCGGAGGA